GUACUUUGGGUGCUACAAUGGGCACCAAAAAAAACAUCUAUAACCUAUUUGGGAAUUUAUCUAACAUGGCAGACCACAAGUUUCUGUCAGGUGGAAAAAGCUCCCGAGAUCCAAGUCCCAGGCCAAAAACAAAGUCCUCGUCAGAGAGAGACAGGGACCCCACGCAGGAAAAUUGGAAUAAAGAUCAAGAGAAAGCACAGCACAAAGAUGUGGACACGUUUCCACUCAAAAAGGGAGGGAAAGAGCAGAAGGUAGAAGGUGGCAAAAGUAGGAACGGCAGACUCGUUUCAAAUAUCGAGAGGGGAGAUGAUCAUAGAGAAAAAGAGAUUUUUUUGGAGCGUGGUACGUUUCCCAGAAUGAGUAAAAAUUCCUUUGAUCCUAGAUUGAGAAUGACAUCUUCUUCUGAGAUGCAGGAGAAAAGAGAACGAAGACCCAACGACUAUCCUAAAAGAGAGGAGAUAGAAGACAACAGAGAUAAAAGAAAUCAUGAGACCGGGCCCAGAAGCAGGGAAGUGGGUAAAAACAUGGAGAGAUGGUCUUUAGAAGAUGAAAGGCUGUACCAGAGAGAGAAAUACAGAUCUAGUGGUGGAGACCUAGACAGAGCAGGAGAUGCAGGUGACUUUAGGGAAAUUAGAGAAAAAGACGCACCAAGGAAAAGAGAAAAAGCAAGAUCAGACAUGGACAGGAUGGAUCCCAGAAUGUAUAACACAGAUAGAGUAUAUGAGAGGGACAGUCAUUCUGACAGAAGAGAAAAGCCUCAAAGGAGGGAAGAAACAAAGGAUUCAAGGGGAGACAGAAACAUUGAUGAAAGACAACCGAGGCAUGAAAGAUAUAGAGAGGAUGGAGAUGGACAGAGGUACAGAAAUAAGGACACAGGGAAAGAAGAGGAUAGAACCAAGAAGAGCAGAGCUCAUAAAAACAGGAAGAUGGAAAGAUCAGCAGAUAAAGUAGAAGAAAGAUAUAGGGAAACUGAUAGAGGUCUACGAGAUGAAAUGAGAAAUGAUGAUCGUCAUAGAGAGGAAAGAAGAACCAGGGAAAGAAAGAACGGACAGGAAGGUAUGCCAGGCAAAAGGUCUGAAUGCCACUCACCUGGUGGUGGUAGAGAUAAGAGGAGGGAUACAGAAGAGGAGAGAAUGCAUAAACGACGUGGAGACAGCGAUGAGGAGAGGAAAACAAGUAGACACAGGACUGGUGAGCAGGAAAGAGGAGAAGAUAAAUGCAGGGAUCCAGAUAGAACUGAGAGAAGUCAGAGGUCUCAAAACAGAACUGAUAGAGAUGAUGGCAGAGGAACGAGAGGCAAUGCUCUUGAGCUAGGAAGGAUGUGGUUAGACCCACAGAGGGGCAAGAAUAGUAAAGAAAGUAGAGACAGAGAGAGACGCACAAGACAGAAGGAAGAGUGGAGUGAAGAGGAGACGUUGCAGGCAGUGAAAGGAAGAGACGAGCGACGGGAUAGUGGGGAACCAGAUGAGAGGUACUCCAAAACACUGGCGGGGAGAAAUGAAUUUAACAGGGGAGAACCAGAGGGAGCAUGUGUAGAUAGAGACGAGGAGAGCAAAGGCAUGAGAGGUCAGAGACGAGGGAGAGAAGACAGCUGGCAAAAAAAUGGACAGACAGAGUACACUGCAGUUAACUCAGAGGAAAGUGACAGGGAGGAAGGGGGAAAGAGGGAUUACUCUCCACACUCUAGGAACAAAGAAGGAAAUGAGGUCAGAUGGAAGGAAGAACGAGACAGAAUAUCAUCAGCAGAGGAUGGUUUUAUGACAUUAUCCAGCAGUGGAGAUGAGAUAGAGAAAGAGUUCAGAGGAUGUGGAGACGCUCACAAGGAACCCACAUCUUAUGACUCAAUGGAAUUUGAAAGUCAUGAGGAAAGGGAAGAAGAUGAGGUGAAACAAAGACGGAAAAAGAAAGGAAAUUGUUUCUUUCGUGGGAUUAGGCCAUCAGGACAAAACAGCGAGGUGUCACAGGAUGAUCAAAGAGGAGGAGCUGAUGGACAAAAUCCAAAUUUAGAAAGUCAUUGUGGUCUCAACGAUGAUGAAGCAAAUUUCCAGGAAAACAUAUUUAUUACAAAAGAGAGAUGUGAUGACAAGCAAGAAAUCAGUAACCAGUAUAUUAAAGGUGACUCUAUCCCAAUAAGGGAAGAAACGUUUACUUCAGAGGAAACAGAGGAACUGGAAAUCCAGGAUUCAUUUUCAAAACCUCAAGAAGCGGCUAAAAACAGAAUGAGGAGCAAAGGGGGACGUGUAGAAAUGAGAAAAGUUAAAAGAGACUCAAAAACUGAAAAACUCCUUAAAGCAUGGAAGGAGAAAAACAAUGAACUUGCAGGCGAAGAAAGAGGGCAACCUCCUUCUGUCCUACGUAAUCCUGGCGAUGGUUCCCAGGAGACUUUUGAACAAACUCGGCGCUUUUUGGAUCAAAUAAACAUUGAAGCAAUGAGUGAAGAACAGGUGGAGGCCAUUCGGGUUAGAAUGAGCGGAGCAUGGAGCACCGACGACCCCAAGAGGUAUUCCCAUCCACCUCACUUGAAAUGGGCUACAAGCGUGGUACGAGAAAUACUAGGGACGUCGGAGGAAAACGCAAUGGAGGAACCAACUUCAGAGACGCAAAAAGAUCAAAGUGUGACCACCGAGCUACAGGAUGAGGCUCCAGAGAGAGCUACGGAGGUGCCCGCUUUCAAAAUUUGGACUAGUACCCAGUGUUCAGAUGCAGAAGGGGAGGACUACAGCCCACCAGAGGAUUUUGGAGGUAUGGGACAAAUGCACAUGCUUUCUGACCAGCUCACAGCUGGGCCUGUUGCAACACCCACAUCCAUUCAUGCUGACACACUGAUAAACACAGGAGGAGGGGACGAUCACUUACCGGAUACAACGUCUGAGCUUUGUGGUCAAACACACUUAGAAAGGAAACGCUUGAAAAAAGUUGGGAGAGAGAACGAAAUGGACAUGUAUCUAGAUGAGAGCUAUAUGCUCUACAAACCCUAUAGCUGCCCGUCUCUAAAUUACAGUUCUGAUUUUGACCUUCUUAUUAGCACCUCUAGAGAGUAUGAGGGGUCAGAGGAUGAUUUGGGACAAGAGAAGGGUUUUGUUGUCGAGUCGGAUGAGAUUAAAGUGGAUAUUGAGCAGGAAGAAGUGUCAUCUGAGAAUGAGGGCACUUGCGGCAGUCAGAGUUUGGGUUUCAAAGCUGAUUUUCGAAGGAGGGGGAUCCGAGUAACAACUGAAAGAAGAAGUGGAACGCUUUUGCAAAUGGAGGGUGUUGCAGGGGACCACAGAACCAAAGUAUUUUCUCCAAAAGAUGAUGCAGAUGUUGCAAGCAGAAGCAUGGGAGACAUGGAGUUGAGGGCGAAUCUUCAUCCAUAUCCAAGAAAAAAAAGGAAUUCAAAAUAUUUCAGUGAGUCUGCCCAACUUCCAUUCUUUCUACAUUUGUUUUCAAUUUUUUUAAGGACACCAUUUUACCUUCAAAUAGAUAAUUCUACGUGUUCGAACAGGGUGAUGUUACACAGGAAAUCAUGGCCAAGCAUUUCCCCUCAACUGUGUGAUUCAGUUCUGUGUCACUAUUUUUUUUUUUUCCCCUCACUCACUUCACGUAAGUCCCAAACUUGA
This 3596-nucleotide long non-coding RNA is filed under the name Oryzias javanicus (javanese ricefish). RNAcentral describes it as "lncRNA (ENSOJAG00000013168.1)". The record is from RNAcentral. Lineage: Eukaryota; Metazoa; Chordata; Actinopteri; Beloniformes; Adrianichthyidae.